AGUGAACGCUGGCGGUAGGCCUAACACAUGCAAGUCGAACGGCAGCACAGUAAGAGCUUGCUCUUACGGGUGGCGAGUGGCGGACGGGUGAGGAAUACAUCGGAAUCUACUUUUUCGUGGGGGAUAACGUAGGGAAACUUACGCUAAUACCGCAUACGACCUACGGGUGAAAGCAGGGGAUCUUCGGACCUUUCGCGAUGGAAUGAGCCGAUGUCGGAUUAGCUAGUUGGCGGGGUAAAGGCCCACCAAGGCGACGAUCCGUAGCUGGUCUGAGAGGAUGAUCAGCCACACUGGAACUGAGACACGGUCCAGACUCCUACGGGAGGCAGCAGUGGGGAAUAUUGGACAAUGGGCGCAAGCCUGAUCCAGCCAUACCGCGUGGGUGAAGAAGGCCUUCGGGUUGUAAAGCCCUUUUGUUGGGAAAGAAAAGCAGCAGGUUAAUACCCCGCUGUUCUGACGGUACCCAAAGAAUAAGCACCGGCUAACUUCGUG
RNAcentral lists this ribosomal RNA (492 nucleotides) under uncultured bacterium. RNAcentral describes it as "partial 16S ribosomal RNA". It matches the Rfam family "Bacterial small subunit ribosomal RNA", at positions 29 to 507 of the family's 1533-position model. The record is from RNAcentral.